Long non-coding RNA from Zingiber officinale, 167 nucleotides. RefSeq lists it as uncharacterized. The record is from RefSeq and is a predicted model, not a curated record. The transcript has 3 exons. Lineage: Eukaryota; Viridiplantae; Streptophyta; Magnoliopsida; Zingiberales; Zingiberaceae.
AUUCACAGUGCUACGUCGACAAGAUAAGAGAAGAAUUGGAGAGCAGAUCAUGUACUAUUAGAACAAGGUGUGCUGUGGAAUCAAUUUUUAGUACUGAUGCAGGAUGCUGUGUGGUAGGAGAAGAUUGUUCCAAAGAUAUAUAUGAUGGAUGCAUAAUUAGCACUCAU